This 75-nucleotide transfer RNA is filed under the name Schistocerca americana (American grasshopper). RNAcentral's name for it is "tRNA-Arg". It matches the Rfam family "tRNA". From Rfam's summary of the family: Transfer RNA (tRNA) molecules are approximately 80 nucleotides in length. Their secondary structure includes four short double-helical elements and three loops (D, anti-codon, and T loops). Lineage: Eukaryota; Metazoa; Arthropoda; Insecta; Orthoptera; Acrididae. RNAcentral also lists the same sequence under 3 other names. The record is from RNAcentral.
UGCUUGGGUAGCUCAGUUGGUAGAGCACUUGCCCGCCUAAGGCAAAGGUCCCGAGUUCGAGUCUCGGUCCGGCAC